GACGAACGCUGGCGGCGUGCCUAAUACAUGCAAGUCGAACGAGAGCGACCGGUGCUUGCACUGGUCAAUCUAGUGGCGAACGGGUGAGUAACACGUGGGUAACCUGCCCAUCAGAGGGGGAUAACAUCCGGAAACGGAUGCUAAAACCGCAUAGGUCUUCGAGCCGCAUGGCUUGAAGAGGAAAAGAGGCGCAAGCUUCUGCUGAUGGAUGGACCCGCGGUGCAUUAGCUAGUUGGUGAGGUAACGGCUCACCAAGGCCGUGAUGCAUAGCCGACCUGAGAGGGUGAUCGGCAACAUUGGGACUGAGACACGGCCCAAACUCCUACGGGAGGCAGCAGUAGGGAAUCUUCCGCAAUGGACGCAAGUCUGACGGAGCAACGCCGCGUGAGUGAAGAAGGUGUUCGGAUCGUAAAACUCUGUUGUUAGAGAAGAACAAGUGCUAGAGUAACUGUUAGCGCCUUGACGGUAUCUAACCAGAAAGCCACGGCUAACUACGUG
Molecule: ribosomal RNA, 498 nt
Filed under: uncultured bacterium
Lineage: Bacteria
Description: partial 16S ribosomal RNA
Rfam family: Bacterial small subunit ribosomal RNA
Source: RNAcentral